RNAcentral lists this long non-coding RNA (577 nucleotides) under Mytilus galloprovincialis (Mediterranean mussel). Lineage: Eukaryota; Metazoa; Mollusca; Bivalvia; Mytilida; Mytilidae. The record is from RNAcentral.
AAAGUAUUAAAAAUCAGUCCAAAAUGUCAGUUCCUUUGGCUUUAUGGUGUUUAAAUAUGAAUUUAAAGCAAAGGUCAAAAUCUAGAACGUCCUAUUAACCUUUGACCUUGACCUCAAUUUCAAGGUCACAAACUAAGGACAUCGAAUCAAAAGACCAUCGGUCUUAAAUAUGUAUGGUUAAUGAGUAAUAUCACUUUACGCAUAAUUCUAAAUAUAAGAGGGGCUAAAACUCCCAUUUAUUGUUUACGCACCCUUUGAACCAAAAUUUAUAAGUUACUACAUGUCCCAAAUAACAAUUUUGUAAAAAUAAUUUGUCGAUAUCUUAUAAGAUUAAUGAAAAUGAGUGAAAAUAAGCCAAAAUCAAAAUUUCGAAUAUGACCUUGACCUUUGACCUUGACCUAAUUUUCAUUUUUUUGGACCAAGGACCUAAAAUCUGAAGACCCUAGGUCUCUAUCACUUAUGGUUUACUAGUUAGAAAUGCAUAUCACUUGAAUCAAAUGAAAAAGGGGGAAUAACUCUCAUAUGGACUCGCCAUAUAGCUUCGGUCCAAAUGAAUAUACUUACUCUUAAGAUGUAA